UGCGGUAAGUCACACUUAGCCCUGGCACCUAAGUCUGCGGAUAGGGUGCCCCGGCCGCAACUGUUGUUGCCAGGGUGCAGAAAGAAAUGCCUGCAUCUCCCGUCUCUGGAAAGGUGUACUGGUGCCACAAUU
This 132-nucleotide non-coding RNA is filed under the name Erwinia mallotivora. RNAcentral describes it as "MoCo sequence". It matches the Rfam family "Molybdenum/Tungsten riboswitch aptamer (Moco RNA motif)". The record is from RNAcentral. Lineage: Bacteria; Pseudomonadati; Pseudomonadota; Gammaproteobacteria; Enterobacterales; Erwiniaceae.